GAGGCGUUGAAUCAGCAACAUCCGUGGGCAGCACAACUUCCUUGCCUUGAAAGCUUCCUAGUAAUUCAUCAAAGACAACAAAGAAGGUGAAGGGACUGAAGCAAGUGAAGAAGCUGGGGGUGUUUAAUCUGACAAAAAAAGGAAGCACAAGGAAGAUCUUAUUGCCCUCUACAACCAUCCGAAAGGAGGUUGUAACGAGGUGGGAAUCAAUCUCUUUCUCCAAAAAGCCAGAGCCUGAGACUCUGUCCUCUCGUUCUGUCAGUUGCUGCCUGGAGAAAGAGACCAACCCCCAGCUGUUUACAACCACCCUUCAGGAAUGUAGAUGUAGCACUUAGAGCAAUAGUUCAUUGUUGGAUGUUGGACUUGGCAGUGCUGGAUUGACUGCUGGAUUCAUGAUUAGAGGCUUUUUCCAACCUAAAUGAGUCUGUGCUUCUAUGAUUCUACAUAUUCGGAGCUAGAUGGCACAAUUUUGGAUCCUUACAACCAUCUCUCUCAGAACUAGUAACAUGAAGAGGCCAACAGGCCUCUUUUUGAUGCAGAAAAGUCAUUGUAUCUUUUCCAUCAAACUAUAAUAGAAUGCUGAUCUCUUGCCUUCUGCCAUUGAGAAGUAUCAGAUUUAGAAUGUUUCAAAAUAUUAUUUUUCUUUGUGAGAAAGAUAAAUUGGAAAGGAGGUGACCAGUUUAUUUCUUCCACAAUUAUAAAUCUUAAGUCUGUAAAGGUAUGUUGUCCAGUUUUGAGUUCUUGUACUGUGACCAUUUUUUCUGGUAGUGCCAAUAAAGGGCUGUGUGAUUGAUAAAGAGCCGUGAGGGCUAAAGCACAAGACCUAAGAAAUAAGAACAACGGUUUGAAUGGUAUUUUAACACUACAGUGAUCUUGCCUAGUUAAAAAUAUUGCCAGCAGAAUUAUUUAAGGAUGAAAAGAAUCCACUGCUCACACUUUGAUCAAAGGAAUGGAAAGCUGAGUGUAAUCUGUUGAUCCAGAAUAGAGGAAUCAUUCAAUAAUAACCCUUUGUUUGUGGCAAAUAUGGUAAGUUGUUUGAGUUUGCUAAGAAAUAGUUUCUAAAUUCUUUAAACGCUGCAAACUGGAGCAAAUAAUCUUAAGGCCCCCCCCCUUGUACUUGAAGUGUGUUCUUAGCUUGUAUUACCUGUCUGUGUAGCCACUUAGAAAACGUUGUUAGAAUGUUUUCAGUAUGAGAGUGAAAGAAAACAUUUCUCUGUUUCAUAUGUUUGCUAAUCCUUAUGCAAGGGUAGAUGGAAAACAACUUGUAGACUACUACUAUGCCUUUCAACAUUUUCUUAGAAUUUUGUACAUAUUUGUUAUUAUUUCCGUUCUUUCCAUUUUGUAUAUUUACUUCCUAACACUAUAUUUCUUCUUUCCACCUAUCCUUUCUUGAAAGCAAGUUCUCUUUUGCAUAAGAAUGGGAAUGUCUAUAUGGGGAUGACUGUCAGGCUGUUAGGCUGGGAUUUUAUUAUUCAUUCUUUAUUCUGUUCUGCCCACUGCUUUUAAAAACUCUUUGAAUGGUGACUAAGAAAAGGAACAACUUGUCAGUAUCUUUAAGUUAGACAUGUGGAACUCUGCCUUUUUAUUGAAAAAAAACCCCAAACCAAACAAAACCCAAAGAGAUGGGGUGUGUGUACAAAAUGAAAAUGGCUAAAAAUCAUUCCUAAGUUCAAAUUCACAAGAUUAUUUUAAUAGGAAAAAAAUCAGUCUCUUUUUUCUUGAAUUUUGUAAUGUCUUGGAAAUAAUUACACAGCCUUAGGCUGCCUGUGUUGAAUUGAGACUGAAGUGAAAACCAUGUAUUCUUUUUCCAUCUUCUGAAAAAUGAUAAUUUUACCAUUGUUAGAAUCAAUCUGCUUUCAAAGAUAUAAUGACAUGUUUUCGCCUUAUCUAUCCUUAAAACAUUAAAUCUUUUAUAUGAAUUGGUUGACAAUUUUUGAAGGAUAACCUUUUCAACAUCAUAAAAUAAAUGGAAGUGGUGAAGGAUUUAGAUUCAAAAUGCUUCACCAGUGCACUAAUAAUUUGAUGAGCACUGCUAUCAUUUUUCUAAAAUGGCAUUAGAUUAAAUCUUAUUCAUCCAGCAAAUUCUUUUGAAGAGUCUCACCUUUAGAAGCUGAUGACACAAACCAGCUUGAAAAUGUGAUUGUGGUAUUUGAAAUGCCCCGUCCCUAGAGUAAUUUUAUUUAUGAUUUAUGAAGAAUAUUUUGUGUGUUUCUUUACAAGUUUUGUUACCUUAGCAUCAAUAUUUUAAAGCUAAAGUUACAAGGACAUACAUAGUUACUGCUCCAUAGUAAGAUCUUGUUUCUGGUAACUUUACACAUUUUUCUCCAGGCAUUCAUGUCAGCAGCACACAACCAUGAUGUGAAAGGAAAUUGCUUCCAACGCCUCUAAAAUUGCUUGCUUGGCUUGAAUUAAUCUUAAUCGAAUUUCUGUCUGAGAUGUUUAAAAGCUUACAGAAUCUCAUCCUUUGAGCACAGCUUUGCUAAUUUGAUUCUGCAUUCCAAAGUGACAAGAAAUUUUGAGACCUGCAGGGCUGCUGUUGCAGAUAAUGUUUCUAUGCAGGUGGCAUGAACCACACUGUUCAUUAAUGUGACAUACCUUUAUAAUGAAUGUCCUCAAAUAAUAAUAGGGGAAACAAUGAACUUGAAUCCCUAUUUAACUGUGUUGUUCCCCUGUCUAAAAUACCAAAUGUACAUUCAGCCUUAAGAAAGAAAAUCGAAGAAAAAUGUUGUGUAUUAUUUUUCAGAUACUUAAAUUGGAAAGAAAGACAAAUUAUUAACCUUAAAAAUGUGAUUAUUUUCUAAAUCCAAACCCUCAAAUAUUACCGCAGUAGAGAAAAAACAGAAGGGCAAAGAUGUAGCCAAAAUUUCCUAAAGAUCACCUGCUGACAUCAUUAGAGUCAGUCUACAGUAGAGUAAUUCUAGAGUUUCUAGUCCUCCUGGCCACAAUGUGACUGCUACCUUUAAACUUAUUUGUAAAUGAGAAGGAUGAGUCAAAUGAUCACAUUGAAGUACAAUGGUCACUUCAAUUUUAUGGAUUGCUCUGAAUGCCAGAGUGGGUGGAUGACUCCAAGACCAGAGUACAAAAUAAAUCUUCUCUUGGAGUCCCUGCUUCAUUUCAGGUUGCCUUUUGCUCAGUGUAGUGGGGGUUCCAGGCUGGUCUAGUCUCUUCUCUGAAGGAAAUAGAGUACCAUUUUUUGAGCUGUUAUCUUGUGAUGCCUGUAGUAGCACUUUUGGUCUAAGUGAUUGACUCAGGAACAGGAGCUGUGCAAAAUUCUGAGCUGUGAACCAGCUGAGGCUAUGUGGUUCUUCGUCUGCUUGUGCUCCUCAAGCACCAGCCACUGCUGCCUCCGUGCAGGCAAUGACAGCAGGCAGCGAGCAUCACCCGGGGGACUGGCAGGACACUUCCAUUCCAGCUGCUAUGAGAUAAGCCAUCCAUGUUCUUCCAGUAGCUGCAUUUCACUGCACUUUUCUCUGCAUGGUCUCAGCCUUCUGC
Long non-coding RNA from Hirundo rustica (Barn swallow), 3492 nucleotides. RefSeq lists it as uncharacterized. The record is from RefSeq and is a predicted model, not a curated record. The transcript has 3 exons. Lineage: Eukaryota; Metazoa; Chordata; Aves; Passeriformes; Hirundinidae.